This 580-nucleotide ribosomal RNA is filed under the name fungal sp. RNAcentral's name for it is "eukaryotic LSU rRNA". The stretch from base 219 to 372 matches the Rfam family "5.8S ribosomal RNA". Lineage: Eukaryota; Fungi. The record is from RNAcentral.
ACAGCGCCCGCGGAGCUCGCUCCCGGGGCUACCCUACUCCCGUAGGGUUUAGAGUCGUCGGGCCUCUCGGAGAAGCUCGGUCCUGAACUCCACCCUUGAAUAAACUACCUCUGUUGCUUUGGCGGGCCGCCUCGUGCCAGCGGCUUCGGCUGUUGAGUGCCCGCCAGAGGACCCCAACUCUUGUUUUUAGUGAUGUCUGAGUACUAUAUAAUAGUUAAAACUUUCAACAACGGAUCUCUUGGUUCUGGCAUCGAUGAAGAACGCAGCGAAAUGCGAUAAGUAAUGUGAAUUGCAAAAUUCAGUGAAUCAUCGAAUCUUUGAACGCACAUUGCGCCCUCUGGUAUUCCGGGGGGCAUGCCUGUUCGAGCGUCAUUAUAACCACUCAAGCUCUCGCUUGGUAUUGGGGUUCGCGGUUUCGCGGCCCCUAAAAUCAGUGGCGGUGCCUGUCGGCUCUACGCGUAGUAAUACUCCUCGCGAUUGAGUCCGGUAGGUCUACUUGCCAGCAACCCCUAAUUUUUUUUAAGGUUGACCUCGGAUCAGGUAGGGAUACCCGCUGAACUUAAGCAUAUCAAUAAGCGGA